Lepisosteus oculatus (spotted gar) is the source of this 3179-nucleotide long non-coding RNA. RefSeq lists it as uncharacterized. Lineage: Eukaryota; Metazoa; Chordata; Actinopteri; Semionotiformes; Lepisosteidae. The record is from RefSeq and is a predicted model, not a curated record.
CAUGCCUAGAUUGAGUGCAUUUCUUAGCUUUUCACCUUCUCCUUGAAUCAUUUACAAAGUCUUUUUUUCUCCUAUUUUUCCAUGCUAUUCUUUUUCGUCUCGGGGGCAAAUGAGUUGUUUUCCAGCUGGCCCUUUGUUGUAGUAAUAUAGUGUAACAGACUUUUUGAUUGACAUCUUUUUUGUUUUACAUGCUCAUUGCUCAACCAGUGAAUUUAAUUGGGCAUUUUAGACUUCCUUUUUGGGAAGUCCUUUAUCCUGCCACUGUGAAAUAAGGACAGGGAGAAUCACAUUUCUUGGGAACCUACUGCUUUUCCAGAGGAUUGGUGUGAUUCCUUACAGUGCCUUUGCCAUUUGCUCACUUUUGUCCUAAGGUGCACCAGUGUCUUCUACCUGAGUGGACGAAUUGAUCAGUGCUCAGCUGAGAUCCUCAUCUUGUACAGUGUGAAAGAGUCCCUAGCAAGCAACACUGGAUCCUGUUUAUUUCCUGUUUUCAUUUAACAGGGGCUGAUUUCCAAGUCAUUUUUUGCAGUCAGUAAAUGCUUUUUUAUACCUGCCAGGAGCACAGCUUCUUUGCAAAAGAAAAGUUUGUGAAAUGCAAUUAGAACGUAUUUCUUGCCCCUUGUCUCAGAAUGAAAAGCUGGUUUGGUGAGUUAAAAGUCUAACUUAUAUCUUGCUUAUGUUUUGUUUGGCUAAAGCCUUCUUCCAGCACAAACAGGUGACCUUCAUCUUCCAUGUCUCCUUUCACGGAGCCCCAGAGACAUGUGUGACCACUUUUGCUCUGCAAAAACGUAUUGCCAAAAUCUUUAAGUGUUGUCACAGGAACUGCAUGAGCCAGGAUUUCUUUUUAUGAGAAGCAGGCACAGUGAGAAAGUGCAUGCUGCCCUCAUGUGAUGUCAGGAGUUGGUUUCAUCCUCACAUUGCCCACUUAAAGCAAGGUCUGCAGGAGCUGAGGAGAGGCAUGACAGUGGGUGGCACUCAGCGCACGGACAGGUCAGCACUGUGCUCCGAUUCCCCCUCCACUCCCCUGGCUUCCCUGCACCCCGCAGCUUUGAAGAUGCCAUCACUGCUAUAAACCUGAACUCUGCUGCAAUUAACUGUUGUUGCUGUCGAAGAUGUUGAUGACCAUCAACAGAAAUCUGCUUGUUCCUGGGAAGAAUCCAAGAAUCCGUGUUGUCCAAGAAGAUGCCCUGGCUGGAGGGGAUCCCGGGUCACUCAGCGAAGAGAACCCCAGGGAGGCAGAUGGGUGGAAUGACCUCUUCUUAUCUAAAGCCUUUCUGACGUUCUUAUGAAAGCUUUAACUUGGAGUUGCAAACUGACAAGCUGGCGAAAUCACCGGCUUUGAGUUUUCCAGUUGUUCAAGAUAAAAUCAGGAAUUCAGGGCCGUCACUGACUUGUUUCGAACUAUAAUCUGCUGCAGCAUCAUUCCGGUCCCCACAUUAAAGUGAUUUUAUUGGGCCCUGAGAACCAAACACGGCUUUUAUCUGGCGAUCAAGAACUGGGAAAACGUUAACCCGUAUUCAGCGACUGAUCCGUAAUUGCGAGGAAUAGCUUGAGGCGAUUUAGCUAACACACCAGUUUUCCAUAUAAGCAGCACAAAGACUGAGGAUCUGAUGCAUGAGGUAUGACACAAUCAUGAUACAUUUUGGAUUUUCUUUUACAUAUUCACUUAAAAUGUAUUGUUUUCAUUAUAUUCCUUUAUUUGUUUAAUUCAUCGCCGAUUUUCAGGGUCCAGCUAUUUAGUCUGGUGACAUCUCUACUAGAAAGGAAAUCAUACAUCGUGCUGUUCAAUUAAAGGGUAAUUAUGCCCCUUAAAGGCAUACCCUUACCCUCAAAUGGGUAGGACAGAAACUGUUAUUGUAUUUCUGUCAUUUGUCACUUUAAUGCUGCCAGCUGUACCAUUCUAAGGCUCACAAUAAUAUUUCUCCAGUGCUCAUCUGGCUUGUUUUGUGUGUAAUAAUAGGAAACCCAAAUACAUCUUUGCCCAUAAACAUGGUCCCCUCUCCCAAAGAAGUUCUCCGACUGUUUGCUUUGCUCUUCCCAUCUCCUGUAGCUGCGGCUUCCUGUCUCUCAGCUCAAGCUCCUCGAGGUUGGCUUUUUUACGAGUUUGACAGCCAUGGACGGAGAGCCGCUUUGUGAAACUGGAUUGCUUGCUGUAAUUAGUGGCUCAGCCCCCCGUAAUGUAUUGUUUGCUUAUGCCGUUCGUUAAUCGAAUACAGCGCGACAUACUGUUCUAGAAUGUCAUGAGAACAGUAGAUUCAAGUCUCGGACAGCCUCGGGUUUAAGAGUGGAAUGUUUUUUUAUUAUUUGUAUUUAAUAAUAAACAUUCCUCUCGUUCCAGAUUCGUGUGUCAGCGCUCACGCUGUUAAGGACAACCAACUGUUGGCUUCGUACAAAAAAAAAAAGAGAAUACGUUCGUGUACUGGUUACUUUUAUCCGAAGCGGAGUUCAAAAAGAAAGAAAAAGUUGUUUGGAUUUUUUUUUUUACAGUGUUCAUUUACAAGACCCCUCCUCCCCCCCACUAACCGCAAAGCGUCGGGCUUCACUACUCAGAAGGAGUGAUUUGCAUGUGAAAAAUCUCAUAUCGGUUAAUAAGGGAAGUCGUUUCAGACCCGUUCUCACAAUCUGAUUGGCAGUUAUCAGCUCCACAUUCUCACGGCAUCGCUGGUAAUGGAUCCUCCAGUGAAUUCAGUUUCCACGGAAACUAACCUUAACCCUACCUUGACCUGCAGUUUGCUCUCAUCUCUUGAAUUCCAAGCCCAUCGACCGAGGUGACUAAGCCCAAAGACUUGACUGGCGGACAUUCACGUGGUUACUGGAACGGGUCUGAUUAAAGAGAUAAAUGCGAUAGCUUUCCGCCAGUCGUCAACACCUGCUCGCACCUUGUGAGAUGCCCUAAGCGGUCCUUCACCACUCAUUCCUUCAGCUUACGUUGUCGUUGCAAACUGAUCUGCACGUAUCUUUGGAAAAUUCGAUUUUAAUUCAGUCUGAUACGCAUAUGAAAUUGUGACUUCCAACAAAAAACGUUGGAAAAAAAGUAAAUAUCUUUUGCAUACUUAUUAGGUGUGAAUUUGAAUUAACGGCAAACAGAAUCAGCUAGAAAUGCGGUUUUCGAUAUCAAUAUUAUUCGUCUAAGUGUAUGUACAGUGCCCUCCAGAUUAUUGUCACCCUUGGUAAAGAUG